GGGCCCGCACAAGCGGUGGAGCAUGUGGUUUAAUUCGAUGCAACGCGAAGAACCUUACCUGGGUUAGACAACGUAUGACAUCCGUAGAGAUACGGCUUCCCCUUCGGGGGCAUACGGUUCAGGUGCUGCAUGGCUGUCGUCAGCUCGUAUCGUGAGAUGUCGGGUUAAGUCCCUUAACGAGCGCAACCCCUAUCCUUAGUUGCCAUCAUUCAGUUGGGCACUCUAUGGAGACCGCCGGUGUUAAACCGGAGGAAGGCGGGGAUGACGUCAAGUCCUCAUGGCCCUUAUGUCCAGGGCUACACACGUGCUACAAUGGUCGGUACAAAGGGUUGCCAACCCGCGAGGGGGAGCUAAUCUCAGAAAACCGAUCUCAGUUCGGAUUGAAGUCUGCAACUCGACUUCAUGAAGCUGGAAUCGCUAGUAAUCGCGGAUCAGAACGCCGCGGUGAAUACGUUCCCGGGCCUU
Molecule: ribosomal RNA, 465 nt
Filed under: uncultured bacterium
Lineage: Bacteria
Description: bacterial SSU rRNA
Rfam family: Bacterial small subunit ribosomal RNA
Source: RNAcentral